Long non-coding RNA from Xiphophorus hellerii (green swordtail), 653 nucleotides. RefSeq lists it as uncharacterized. The transcript is spliced from 2 exons. Lineage: Eukaryota; Metazoa; Chordata; Actinopteri; Cyprinodontiformes; Poeciliidae. The record is from RefSeq and is a predicted model, not a curated record.
CUGGCCUGGGAGCGGCUCGGUCGGCUCGUUUUCACACAAACUAUUUCCAAAGCGGGGAUCAGAGGAGAGCUUUUUCUCUUUUUUUUUUCUUUUCUUUUCUUUUUCUGUCAGGGAGGUGGAAUCCGUCCUGGGCAGGAGAGGCGGGGUUCCGACUCACCAGGCCUCGCUCGGUAGAAAUGAGUCAGUCUGAGUCUGAGAGCACGUUUUCUCUGCUGAGUAAUAGCUCCGCAGACGGAGAGAGCCAACUCGGUGGAGGACGAGAAGAAAAAAACUAAAACUCUGCAGUCAUAGUGACCAGGUUACCACGGCAACUAAACGCAGCAGGGUUUUUUUUUUUCCGAGUGAGUGGUCCCUUCCCGGUGCUCGAUCUGAAAUAAUUACACCGUGAAGGAGCUUGAAGCCAUUUUCAUUUCAUUUGGAUUGCAAAGCAGCAGAAAAGCAGGCCGCUGUGGAUAGACUCCCUCCGUGCGUCUACUUUCCUCCAUCAUCAACGCACUCGUUUGUACCACCAGCAGGAAGAAAAAGAAGAAGAAGAAAAGAUGAAGUGUGUGGAAAAUACAGUGACGCUUCUACACCUGAUGUGGAAGAGCACUGGCGCCAUCUGCUGGAGAAAUGUUUCUACAUGAAAUAAAUUUUGUUCUCCAAAACUCCAA